GCAGUCGAGCGAACGGACGAGAAGCUUGCUUCUCUGAUGUUAGCGGCGGACGGGUGAGUAACACGUGGAUAACCUACCUAUAAGACUGGGAUAACUUCGGGAAACCGGAGCUAAUACCGGAUAAUAUUUUGAACCGCAUGGUUCAAAAGUGAAAGACGGUCUUGCUGUCACUUAUAGAUGGAUCCGCGCUGCAUUAGCUAGUUGGUAAGGUAACGGCUUACCAAGGCAACGAUGCAUAGCCGACCUGAGAGGGUGAUCGGCCACACUGGAACUGAGACACGGUCCAGACUCCUACGGGAGGCAGCAGUAGGGAAUCUUCCGCAAUGGGCGAAAGCCUGACGGAGCAACGCCGCGUGAGUGAUGAAGGUCUUCGGAUCGUAAAACUCUGUUAUUAGGGAAGAACAUAUGUGUAAGUAACUGUGCACAUCUUGACGGUACCUAAUCAGAAAGCCACGGCUAACUACGUGCCAGCAGCCGCGGUAAUACGUAGGUGGCAAGCGUUAUCCGGAAUUAUUGGGCGUAAAGCGCGCGUAGGCGGUUUUUUAAGUCUGAUGUGAAAGCCCACGGCUCAACCGUGGAGGGUCAUUGGAAACUGGAAAACUUGAGUGCAGAAGAGGAAAGUGGAAUUCCAUGUGUAGCGGUGAAAUGCGCAGAGAUAUGGAGGAACACCAGUGGCGAAGGCGACUUUCUGGUCUGUAACUGACGCUGAUGUGCGAAAGCGUGGGGAUCAAACAGGAUUAGAUACCCUGGUAGUCCACGCCGUAAACGAUGAGUGCUAAGUGUUAGGGGGUUUCCGCCCCUUAGUGCUGCAGCUAACGCAUUAAGCACUCCGCCUGGGGAGUACGACCGCAAGGUUGAAACUCAAAGGAAUUGACGGGGACCCGCACAAGCGGUGGAGCAUGUGGUUUAAUUCGAAGCAACGCGAAGAACCUUACCAAAUCUUGACAUCCUUUGACAACUCUAGAGAUAGAGCUUUCCCCUUCGGGGGACAAAGUGACAGGUGGUGCAUGGUUGUCGUCAGCUCGUGUCGUGAGAUGUUGGGUUAAGUCCCGCAACGAGCGCAACCCUUAAGCUUAGUUGCCAUCAUUAAGUUGGGCACUCUAAGUUGACUGCCGGUGACAAACCGGAGGAAGGUGGGGAUGACGUCAAAUCAUCAUGCCCCUUAUGAUUUGGGCUACACACGUGCUACAAUGGACAAUACAAAGGGCAGCGAAACCGCGAGGUCAAGCAAAUCCCAUAAAGUUGUUCUCAGUUCGGAUUGUAGUCUGCAACUCGACUACAUGAAGCUGGAAUCGCUAGUAAUCGUAGAUCAGCAUGCUACGGUGAAUACGUUCCCGGGUCUUGUACACACCGCCCGUCACACCACGAGAGUUUGUAACACCCGAAGCCGGUGGAGUAACCUUUUAGGAGCUA
RNAcentral lists this ribosomal RNA (1413 nucleotides) under Staphylococcus aureus. RNAcentral's name for it is "bacterial SSU rRNA". It matches the Rfam family "Bacterial small subunit ribosomal RNA". The record is from RNAcentral. Lineage: Bacteria; Bacillati; Bacillota; Bacilli; Caryophanales; Staphylococcaceae.